AUGAAUUGCGAAAGAAGUUUUUUCGGUUAAAACGCCGUGCGACUCGGAGGACAUAAGACUUCUUGGUCAAGCCAAAAAGAUUGCCGGCAGAAUGCUCCUACCCCACCAUGCCUGGCCCUUUACCUUACCUUAAGAAUAAGGGGGUAUGCAGCGUGGGAAAGAAUUAAAGAAGUGUCUGAUACAACAGGUAACCUUAAGGAGUGGCGGCAAAGCUCUUGAUUGAUCAACGCGAGUGAACUGUGCUUAGACGCUUCGUAAAACCGCACCGAUCUACGAGAGGAGCUGAUGGAUGAGUAGGCUUCCCCUUUCGAUUUACGGAAUGUGAUCUGGGACACGAUGGGGGUUUGCGUGCCUCGGUAGGAAAGAGAUCACCGGAGUAUAGCACAAGAUCGCCUUUUUUUUCUUGCUGCCAUGGGGUCGACCUGUAAACAAGGUAAACCCAAUGGGAACCAAAAACGGGAGGGUACCACAUUGACAUUGGGCAGAAGACGAUCCAAAAAGCGAAGGCUCACCCUGCUGAAGGCGAUCGGCAGUGAGGGAUGCUUACCUUCUUCUUAGAGAAAGGGGAAAGGGGCAACCUAUCUUACUAAUAAUAAGAAAGGGGGUGAGAUAGGCGACAGGUAGCUUGCUUCCAAGCCGGCCGCGAGGAAUCAAGAGAUCUUUGCCGGUGCUGACUUGGAUCUCGGGUGACGGAAAAAGGCGCCCAGAAGUGACGAGCAGUCGCGGUCGAAGCUUGGCUACAGCGAAGCGCUUACCAAGCGCGAAGGAUUCGUUCCUCUCUCCCAGCAAGAGGACCUCCAAGUCAAGCGCGCUAGCGCGCUUUACCAAGGCUUUCUCUGAUAGGGGCUCGAACGCCGUUGCUUGUUUGGGUCGAGCGUCUUCAAACCUUCGCCACUUGAGCCGUAUGCGGGGGAACUCGCACGUGCGGUUCUUAGGGGGGAGAGCUAGUAGGAACCAUCCUAUCCCAAUAGCGUUUAUUUGGAGCUCAAU
This 990-nucleotide non-coding RNA is filed under the name Lathyrus oleraceus (garden pea). Lineage: Eukaryota; Viridiplantae; Streptophyta; Magnoliopsida; Fabales; Fabaceae. The record is from RNAcentral.